ACGCGCAGAACCUUACCAACCCUUGACAUGGGUAUCGCGGGACCAGAGAUGGUCCUUUCAGUUCGGCUGGAUACCACACAGGUGCUGCAUGGCUGUCGUCAGCUCGUGUCGUGAGAUGUUCGGUUAAGUCCGGCAACGAGCGCAACCCACACUCUUAGUUGCCAGCAUUCAGUUGGGCACUCUAGGAGAACUGCCGGUGAUAAGCCGGAGGAAGGUGUGGAUGACGUCAAGUCCUCAUGGCCCUUACGGGUUGGGCUACACACGUGCUACAAUGGUGGUGACAAUGGGUUAAUCCCAAAAAGCCAUCUCAGUUCGGAUUGGGGUCUGCAACUCGACCCCAUGAAGUCGGAAUCGCUAGUAAUCGCGUAACAGCAUGACGCGGUGAAUACGUUCCCGGGCCUUGUACACACCGCCCGUCACACCAUGGGAAUUGG
Molecule: ribosomal RNA, 434 nt
Filed under: uncultured Alphaproteobacteria bacterium
Lineage: Bacteria; Pseudomonadati; Pseudomonadota; Alphaproteobacteria
Description: bacterial SSU rRNA
Rfam family: Bacterial small subunit ribosomal RNA
Source: RNAcentral